Hemicordylus capensis (graceful crag lizard) is the source of this 267-nucleotide long non-coding RNA. RefSeq lists it as uncharacterized. The transcript has 2 exons. Lineage: Eukaryota; Metazoa; Chordata; Lepidosauria; Squamata; Cordylidae. The record is from RefSeq and is a predicted model, not a curated record.
CUGAAGCUAAAUUGAAAGUGAGCAUAGUAUGUGAGACUAUACAACAUAUUUACUGCUAUUAUGAAUAUAGCCUGUUUGGGAGCUCCCUGCAGCACCUCUACACUUGAUUUGGAGCUACAGCUGACUGACUGACAUAGAAGAUGUCGUCCACGAUUCUAGGGACCACAAUGUAUGGCUUUUGCUGGCCACCAACCUCCCAGUCAAAGAAGGCACAUGAAGAGAGAGAUAUAAAUACUGUAUGAUAAGUAAAUAAUUUUUUUUAAUGAC